CGAUACGAGUUUGAUCCUGGCUCAGGAUGAACGCUAGCGGCAGGCUUAAUACAUGCAAGUCAAGGGGGUAGCAAUACAACCGGCGCACGGGUGAGUAACGCGUACACAACAUACCAUAUACUGGGGUAUAGCUUCGGGAAACUGGAGAUAAUCCCCCAUAACAUUGCGAGAGGGCAUCUGAUUGCAAUUAAAGUUUCGACGGUAUAUGAUUGGUGUGCGUUUGAUUAGCUUGUUGGUAGGGUAACGGCCUACCAAGGCGACGAUCAAUAGCUGGCGUGAGAGCGCGACCAGCCACACUGGAACUGAGACACGGUCCAGACUCCUACGGGAGGCAGCAGUACGGGAAUAUUGGACAAUGGGCGAAAGCCUGAUCCAGCCAUGCCGCGUGAUAGAUGAAGGCCCUCUGGGUUGUAAAUAUCUUUUAUCUGGGAAGAAACUCCUCUAUUCUUAGAGGCCUGACGGUACCAGAGGAAUAAGCACCGGCUAACUCCGUG
This 494-nucleotide ribosomal RNA is filed under the name uncultured bacterium. RNAcentral describes it as "bacterial SSU rRNA". It matches the Rfam family "Bacterial small subunit ribosomal RNA", at positions 1 to 507 of the family's 1533-position model. The record is from RNAcentral.